RNAcentral lists this long non-coding RNA (253 nucleotides) under Elaeis guineensis (African oil palm). RNAcentral's name for it is "long non-coding RNA (EGUI_LNC041556)". The record is from RNAcentral. Lineage: Eukaryota; Viridiplantae; Streptophyta; Magnoliopsida; Arecales; Arecaceae.
UUGGACUUGCUACUUUCUUGAUGUCUCCCAUAAGCUUAAAACGUGGCUAUGGUAAUCCAUAGAACUAGCUACUUUACUAUCCUUUGUAUGGAUGGCUAUGGUAGUCCAUAGGACUAACUAUUUUUGUGGCCUUAUCCAUGGACUUGAAACGUAGCUGUAGUAGUUUAAAGCCAAGCAACUUGAUAUGAUCGAAUCCUAUGUAUGUUGGUUGAGAAAAUUGUAUGAUGUGAUCAAUUGAACAAAGAAUAUAUUU